This 358-nucleotide RNase P RNA is filed under the name marine eukaryotic metagenome. RNAcentral's name for it is "Bacterial RNase P class A". It matches the Rfam family "Bacterial RNase P class A", at positions 32 to 352 of the family's 367-position model. Rfam says of the family: Ribonuclease P (RNase P) is a ubiquitous endoribonuclease, found in archaea, bacteria and eukarya as well as chloroplasts and mitochondria. Its best characterised activity is the generation of mature 5'-ends of tRNAs by cleaving the 5'-leader elements of precursor-tRNAs. Cellular RNase Ps are ribonucleoproteins. The record is from RNAcentral.
CGUAAGCGGGAGAGGAAAGUCCGGACUCCACAGGGCAGGAAGUCCCGCUGAAAGGCGGGAUACCGUCGGCAAAACACCGGCGGUAAGGAAAGUGCCGCAGAAAGAAGACCGCCUGACCGUUGCAAGGUGGUCAGGUAAGGGUGAAAGGGUGAGGUAAGAGCUCACCGCUUCUCGGCGUAAUCCGGGAAGGCACGGCAAACCCCUUCCGGAGCAAGACCAAAUAGGGGGCUGCCGAUGCGGCCCGCAUCACUUCCGGCCCUCAACGUCGAGGGCACGGAGCAAGCCCCGGGUUUCGGUCGCUCAGAUGAAUGGCCGUGCCCGUCUUUGAUGAAAAGGCGGGAACAGAAUCCGGCUUACG